AUGUAUAUAUACUCCACUCGUAGUCUUUUUCGACAAACCCUAAAAUAUAGGACUUGUCCCAUCGACCCGCUGCCAUCCACCUCGGGAUCCCUCCGAAUCCAUUUCCACCAACCGAAGCCGCCUCCUCCUUCCUCGUUUUCCCCAUCAAGCCAACCAGCGGCCUCCCUGCAUAGCAGCGCCUCUGGCCCCGAUCCAGCCACCCGAGGCCCGGCCUCCUCUCGCUCUCGUGCGCGAGCACGCGCUCAGGAGCUCGAGCAGGGGAGCCUCGAUCCCGCAGCUCCCUGCAACCUCCCGCUGGAGUCCCCGAUCCCCACAGCUGGACUCCGUCCCCGCCGUCUCCGUCGUCUCUCGCCAUUUCGUUGGCGGCAAGCCUCGCCGGAGAACCUCCCAGGCCUGAUCCCGCCGCCCUGCUCCUCCUUCCCUAGCCAUCUCCUUCUCCUCCUUCCUCUAACCUCUCUCUAUCUCUAG
Molecule: ribosomal RNA, 468 nt
Filed under: Triticum aestivum (bread wheat)
Lineage: Eukaryota; Viridiplantae; Streptophyta; Magnoliopsida; Poales; Poaceae
Description: partial small subunit ribosomal RNA
Source: RNAcentral